CCUACGGGUGGCAGCAGUGGGGAAUAUUGCACAAUGGGGGAAACCCUGAUGCAGCAACGCCGCGUGAAGGAAGACGGUUUUCGGAUUGUUAAAUUCUGUUCUUAGUGAAGCAUCAUGACGGUAGCUAAGGAGCAAGCCACGGCUAACUACGUGCCAGCAGCCGCGGUAAUACGUAGGGGGCAAGCGUUGUCCGGAAUUACUGGGUGUAAAGGGAGCGCAGGCGGGAAGCCAAGUCAGCUGUGAAAACUACGGGGCUAACUUGUAGACUGCAGUUGAAACUGGUUUUCUUGAGUGAAGUAGAGGUUGGCGGAAUUCGGGGUGUAGCGGUGAAAUGCAUAGAUAUUCGGAGGAACCCCGGUGGCGAAGGCGGCCAGCUGGGCUUUAACUGACGCUGAGGCUCGAAAGUGUGGGGAGCGAACAGGAUUAGAUACCCGAGUAGUC
Molecule: ribosomal RNA, 441 nt
Filed under: uncultured bacterium
Lineage: Bacteria
Description: partial 16S ribosomal RNA
Rfam family: Bacterial small subunit ribosomal RNA
Source: RNAcentral